RNAcentral lists this long non-coding RNA (3735 nucleotides) under Sus scrofa (pig). Its description in RNAcentral is "lncRNA (ENSSSCG00000054279.1)". Lineage: Eukaryota; Metazoa; Chordata; Mammalia; Artiodactyla; Suidae. The record is from RNAcentral.
GUAACUGUGAGUUCACCUGAUGUCACUUCCCCCUGUAACUGGUAACCUUCCCCUCCCCAGGAGUGAAGACUGCCACCAUGCCCUGUCCAGCCUCCACUGCAGAGAGUGAGGUGACACCCCAGGGACCAUGCUUCAGACAGGGAGCUCCCCCAUCCAUUAAACCAUUGAGCUCUCUGUCCUGACUCCCAGUUCCUUCUUAGGUCUCGUGGAUAGGCAAGCACAGGGCUUGCAAGCCCAACGCUCAUGACUGGGUCAUAGAUGGUGAAGAAGGAAACUUAACACUGACCAAGUGGAUGCAGGUGUGAGCCUGGAGGGCCAGGUCUGCAUUAAGAAGUUUACUAUUUAUUCAGCUGGCCAUAGGGAGCCAUUGAGGACUUUUGAGUAUAGAGGAGUGACAUGAGAUGAGAAUGACACGUGAGAAGUAUCGUUAGAACGUAAGCCUCCUAAGGACAGAUUCCUCCCUGCUCCCCCAUGUGAUUCUUGCUGUGUCCCCUGUGCCUGCAACAGUAUCUGGCCCAGUUAGGUGUCCAAUGACUGAUGUGUGAAUGAAUGAAUGAGUGAUGAAGGCAGGCCUAUGGGAUAGAUCGAGGAGGGCCGCCGGAAGGCAGGAGAACUAGUUCAGAGGCUAUGAGAGCUGGUCCCUGUGAGCUGGCGGCGGGAUGGGUGCAGGCACAGCAGCAGGCGACUCUGGGAACAUCUGCUUUCUUCCGCCCUCUGCUCCUCUUGGAGGCACUGACCACUCUGUGAAUGCAGGGAAGCUUCCGGGCAGCAUAAUCCAUCCUGACAGCCCUGGCCACAUGCAUUUGCAGAGCCUCUGUUCUCUUCUCCUCCCCAUUCAGAUUGGAACACAGUUCAGGCACGCUCUGGAGAGGAAAUAGUCAUUUGCCUCUGAACAUGAAACAGCAUUUUCUGAAGCCGCGAGCAGCUGGUGUGAGCUGGGCUGGCUCGCAAUUGCAACCAGCUUGUUUUAAUUUGGGGCUGGGGGUGGGGUUUGGGGUGGGACUUGAUGUACCAGCUUCCCAGUGGGAAGACACUCACAUAUCCACACAAACACACACGCAAAUGCGACAGGCCUGCAGGCUUGGCCAGCUUGGCAGAGGAGAGGGCUUCCUAGUGGGAAGGAGAGGAAGGAAGGGAAAAGGGUUGCACAAAUGCAUUCUUCUCAAACCCCAGGGGAGCGGCUGCUUUUGGCCAUGCAAUCCAUCCACUGGGAACCAGUGCCCUGCUGGUCCUGGAACCAUCUUAGAAGGUUGAACACUUAACGAUGCAAAAGCAUUUUGUCAGAUGCUCUACCUGAUGGUUUUCUGCAGAAGGCAGGUGUUGGGGGGAGUGCUGGAGAAAGAAGUAGGCUGGUUGCCAAGGCCUUAUACUGUUUUGAAAAAUGAUAAAUAUGAGUAGAAAAAGUCACGGGGCUGAGACUUCAAGGAGACUCAUUAGAAACGUGCCUCCCCAAGUGAGACUCCAUUUUCUCCUGCUGUGUCAACCCCAAAAAUCAAGGCUGGACACAGAUGUAAAAACAAACAUAAAUGCACACAAAUGGAGCUGAUGGUUCCCCUCUCUCACCCUGUUCUUUCUCUCUUGUGUUUCUCUUGUCCACCCUCUUUAAUCUCCUCUCUUGAACUCGAACAGUCCAGAUACUGUCUGCGGUGGGUUACUUGUCCCCAGGCCCUCUCUCCACCGUCCUGGUGGUGGGUAUUUGUCCACCAGCACAGGCGCAGGGGACUCUGGGGCCAGUGACACCUCUGAGGCUGCCGAUGGACACAGUGACGAGAAAUCCUUCUUGCAGAGGAAGUGGGCAGCAUGAUAUUCUUUUUUUUUUUUGUCUUUUCUAGGGCUGCACCCAUGGCCUAUGGAGGUUCCUAGGCUAGGGGUCUAAUUGGAGCUGUCGCUGCCAGCCUACGACAGAGCCACAGCAACGCCAGAUCUGAGCCGCGUCUGCGACCUACACCACAGCGCACGGCAAUGCCAGAUCCUUAACCCACUGAGCAAGGCCAGGGAUCAAACCCGCAACCUCAUGGUUCCUAGUCAGAUUCAUUAACCACUGAGUCACGACGGGAAUUCCGGCAGCAUGAUAUUCUGGAAAUAUAUCUAAAAUUGUGCAACUGUGGAUUGUGGGCCUACCUCUGCCGAGGUGGCAGAGAGCUCAACUUUCCAUUUCACCACCAACCCUGUGAGUUGGGUGUAACGAUCCCUCCCCCAGAGUUGUUGCAGGACUAAAGUGAGGUGAUGUGUGUAACAGUGGACUUAGCUAACAUUUAGCCGUAAUAGCUAGAACUUCGCCAACAGUCUUAGGUAUGCUUUUCCAACCACUUCAAAUAAUUAACUUGCUUGACUUUUACAAUAACCUUAGGAAGGACUACAAUUACCCACCUUUUAUAGGCCCAGAGAGGUUAUGCCAUUUGUCCAAGUAAGUGGCAAUGGUGGGAUUUGAACGCAGGCAGCCUGACACCAAAGCCAACGCUCAUUACCACUACUCUAUGCUACCUUCUGCCACCAUGGUGUGCACAAUCAUAGCUGUCCCGUGCUCCCUGGGACCCCCUCCCCUAACCUCUUUCCUCAAGGAGCCCCGAGUCUUGCAGAAAGUUCUCUGGCAACAGUGGAGCCGUUCCCCUUGUUAAUUAGGUGUUUCAUUUUACUGCCAGCCUUUUGUUUCCCCCUGGAGAUCUGGCAGUAUUUCCAAUAAAUUGUGUUUCAAGGAAAGAAAUAGAAAAAGACAGUGAGUGGCCCCCAGGUUGGAGGCUGCAAAGUUUCUUUAGGCAGGGAGAACAAUUGGGCCAUUGUCUGCGUUAAUAGGACUUCCUGGGGAGGCAGCUGUGGGCCUUGCUCCCCGGUUUUAUUUUAGCAAUGUCCAAAUUAGACUCCCUUUUCCUCCCCUUCCCUUUGGUCAGUAGUAUAUUUUAUUCUCAUACGGACCACUCCUUAUUCCCACAACGGAAAUUAAGAUUUGGGUUUUGGACUUAGCAUAGGGAUGUGACAAGGGUUUGCUUACAUCUCAAGAGUGGAACUGAAUAUUUUGCAAAACCUGCUUUCGUGGAACCGAGAGUUUCCUUCUGGUGGGAAGGCUGGGCUCUUCUUCUUGGGCCACAUAUCUGCAUCUCAGAGGAAAACCUUAGCACUUAAAUCUGGAUUGAUCAGUACUCCUUAUUUAGCUUUAUGAUGAUCCAGACUGAGGAUGUUCAUUCAGUCCUUUGCCCUCUGGUUGUGAGGAGCAAGAGGAAGAGUUGAGAGGUGGAUAUUGGUGGUGGUGGACCUGGGCAUGGCCUCAGCGUGACUCCAGUUUGAGUUACUGUCCUGCCAAGCACCAGAUUACUUGAUGUUGGCCAAGUAGCCUGACUUCCUCCGGUAGGUGUUUAAUGUAUUUCUUUGUAGGAGACAUUUGUUACUUUUCUUAGCUGCCUGGGAUUUUCAGCCUCUUCUUCCUUCUUUGCAUUAUCACUUUCUUUAGAAGGCAGAGUUGUCUCUCCCUAGAGAAACUGAAAAGACAAGACAAUCGCCCAGUGUUCUUGCGUCUAGUUUUUUUGCCAGCAAGAGGAAAUCACCUAGGCAUCGUUCAGAAGUGCUGUGGAGGAAUGGAAACGCAUCCAGCUGGUAUCCGUGAUGAUGUGGGUUCGAUCCCUGGCCUUGCUCAGUGGGUUGGGAAAUCCAGCAUUGCGGCAUUGCUGUGGCUGUAGCAUAGGCCGGUAGCUGUAGCUCUGACCCCCAGCCUGGGAACUUCCAUAUGCCGCAAGUGCGGUC